This 433-nucleotide ribosomal RNA is filed under the name uncultured bacterium. RNAcentral's name for it is "partial 16S ribosomal RNA". It matches the Rfam family "Bacterial small subunit ribosomal RNA", at positions 29 to 507 of the family's 1533-position model. The record is from RNAcentral.
AACGAACGCUGGCGGCAUGCCUAACACAUGCAAGUCGAACGAGACCUUCGGGUCUAGUGGCGCACGGGUGCGUAACGCGUGGGAACCUGCCCUUAGGUUCGGAAUAACUCCCCGAAAGGGGUGCUAAUACCGGAUAAUGUCUUCGGACCAAAGAUUUAUCGCCUUUGGAUGGGCCCGCGUUGGAUUAGCUAGUUGGUAGGGUAAAAGCCUACCAAGGCGACGAUCCAUAGCUGGUCUGAGAGGAUGAUCAGCCACACUGGGACUGAGACACGGCCCAGACUCCUACGGGAGGCAGCAGAGGGUAAUAGUGGACAAUGGGCGAAAGCCUGAUCCAGCAAGGCCGCGUGAGUGAUGAAGGCCGUAGGGUUGUAAAGCUCUUUUACCCGGGAUGAUAAUGACAGUACCGGGAGAAUAAGCGCCGGCUAACUCCGUG